CCCAAAAAACCCAUCCUCAAAGCCGCCACCACCACCAGAAAAACAGCGACGCACAUCGCAAAUUGGGUCCCACUUGACCUUAUCCAAUCGGAACUCUCUCUUCCCCUCACAUUCCCCACUGGCCAAACCUUCCGCUGGAAACAAACGGGUGCCUUCCAGUAUACCGGCACUCUCGGCCCUCACUUGAUAUCGCUCAAGCAUCAUCAUGAAAACGGCGACGUUUAUUACCACAUCCACCGAACCCCCUCAGAAUCCGCCGCCAAACUAGCUCUUCUCGAUUUCCUCAACAUUGAUAUCUCACUCACCGAUAUUUGGGCUGAGUUCUCGGCCUCGGACUCGAGGUUUGCGGAGCUAGCGCUACACUUGAAGGGGGCUAGGGUUUUGAGGCAGGACCCACUGGAGUGCUUGAUUCAAUUCCUGUGUUCUUCCAAUAAUAACAUUGCGAGAAUCACUAAAAUGGUGGAUUUUAUAUCUUCUUUGGGAGAAUAUCUGGGGAAUGUUGAGGGUUUUGAGUUUCACGAGUUCCCGUCUUUGGAACGAUUGGCUAUUGCCACUGAGCAGGAGCUUAGAGAGGCUGGGUUUGG
This 584-nucleotide unclassified non-coding RNA is filed under the name Hevea brasiliensis (rubber tree). The record is from RNAcentral. Lineage: Eukaryota; Viridiplantae; Streptophyta; Magnoliopsida; Malpighiales; Euphorbiaceae.